Molecule: non-coding RNA, 246 nt
Organism: Vicia faba (fava bean)
Lineage: Eukaryota; Viridiplantae; Streptophyta; Magnoliopsida; Fabales; Fabaceae
Source: the annotation of a GenBank genome assembly
AUGUUGGGAGGAGGAGGAAUCGAAGUUUGGUCGCAUGAUGGGUGUGAAUUGUGUAGUUGGCCUAUUAUAAAUUUGUGGUUGUUGAGAUUCAUAAAUGUAAUUUGGUUGGGAGUGAGAUUACGGGAUAAUGGGGGAUGGGUGUUUGAUGUUGGGAAAAGUGAGGAGUUUGUUGUUGGAAGGAUUGAGGAUGAGGAGGUUGAGAAUGUUGUGAGUGGUGAGGUUGUUGAGAGUCACUUGCCUGAGUAG